AUCCCUUGACAUCCUGCGAACUUUCUAGAGAUAGAUUGGAGCCUUCGGGAACGCAGUGAC
RNAcentral lists this ribosomal RNA (60 nucleotides) under uncultured bacterium. RNAcentral's name for it is "partial 16S ribosomal RNA". The record is from RNAcentral.